This 666-nucleotide long non-coding RNA is filed under the name Capra hircus (goat). RNAcentral describes it as "lncRNA (ENSCHIG00000007583.1)". Lineage: Eukaryota; Metazoa; Chordata; Mammalia; Artiodactyla; Bovidae. The record is from RNAcentral.
CCCACAGCAUCAUCACCAUGGUCUCCCUAUCAAUGACGGGUAACUUUCCUUUUGCCCAAGUGCUUCCGUGUGUUCCACUUCCAAGAGCUUUCCUUCAGUCCCUGCCCAGCACACAUCCCCUCCAGCCUCCUCCCCAUCUUCCUGCUUCCCCAGAUGGCUAUGGAUUCUGGUCUUCAUCUGCUACAUUUCAACACAUCCCAGCCGGCUUCCACCCCCACCAUGCACAGUCUUAACAACUACCAUCAACAACAUCUACUAAUGUCUUACAAGACUGUAGAUACACAAGCCCUGCUGACAUCUGCAUGGAUUAUCCAGAGGUCGGAAACAUGCUUUGCGACUGUCAACUGCAUGAUAAAACUGUCAGAAAUCUAUGGAGGCAGCCGCGUACAUUUUGAAGCCAGAGUCAAAGUUCUAUUUAUUCUUCGACAGUGUAAGCGCUGCGCAUUUUACAGGAGUACGUAAGAUUUGUGAAUCUAAAUUCUUGGGAACACUCAGUUCUCUGGCCCAAUUUGUUCUGAAGCAGGUGAAGAUUCAAGGACAUACUGAACUUACCUGUGAAGCCCAAUUUUACCACUGCUUAGCUGUGUAACUUCAGACAAGUUCCAUAACCUCUCUGUGCUGCUUUCUGCAUCUAUAAAAAGUAGCAAACCUACAUGAUUUCUGGAG